AAGUCGUAACAAGGUUUCCGUAGGUGAACCUGCGGAAGGAUCAUUAAAAAAUCGUUUGAGCCGCAAGGCUCUAUUAUCUUGUGAAAUGUAUAUGGGAUAGCUAACUAUGCGCACGCACAGUGGAGAAGAGUGUUGUGAUGUAGUAGUAAUGUGGAGGAUAGGAAGAUGUCUAGGCAUCAUCCAUCAUCAUCAUCAUCUGCUUACGUCCCAUCAAUCAUAUCUAUCUAUGCGGCGCGCAAGCUUUCCCAGUUAUUAUUAAACCUAUGUUUUUUGAUGUUGAGGAAAUAUGUAUAUUUAAUACUUAUACAACUUUCAACAGUGGAUCUCUCGGCUCUG
This 336-nucleotide unclassified non-coding RNA is filed under the name fungal sp. RNAcentral describes it as "partial internal transcribed spacer region". The stretch from base 1 to 46 matches the Rfam family "Eukaryotic small subunit ribosomal RNA", at positions 1786 to 1831 of the family's 1831-position model. The record is from RNAcentral. Lineage: Eukaryota; Fungi.